CCUACGGGUGGCAGUGGGGAAUCUUGCGCAAUGGGCGAAAGCCUGACGCAGCGACGCCGCGUGAGUGAUGAAGGCCUUCGGGUUGUAAAGCUCUGUGGGGAGAGACGAAUAAGUGCGGGCUAAUACUCCGCAUGAUGACGGUAUCUCCUUAGCAAGCACCGGCUAACUCUGUGCCAGCAGCCGCGGUAAGACAGAGGGUGCAAACGUUGUUCGGGAUUAGUGGGCGUAAAGCGUGUGGUGACUGCGAUGUGAAAGCCCUGGGCUCAACCCAGGAAGUGCACUCGAUACUGCAUGGCUUGAGUACCGGAGAGGUUGGUGGAAUUCUCGGUGUAGAGGUGAAAUUCGUAGAUAUCGAGAGGAACACCGGUGGCGAAGGCGGCCAACUGGACGGAUACUGACGCUGAGACACGAAAGCGUGGGGAGCAAACAGGAUUAGAUACCCUGGUAGUC
Molecule: ribosomal RNA, 450 nt
Filed under: uncultured bacterium
Lineage: Bacteria
Description: partial 16S ribosomal RNA
Rfam family: Bacterial small subunit ribosomal RNA
Source: RNAcentral